Molecule: long non-coding RNA, 1082 nt
Organism: Alosa alosa (allis shad)
Lineage: Eukaryota; Metazoa; Chordata; Actinopteri; Clupeiformes; Clupeidae
Exons: 4
Source: RefSeq, a predicted model, not a curated record
UGGCGGACAGUGAGAUUGCAGGAGAGUGAACUACAGAAACAAGAAGAUUUCCGAGAAAUAACAUUUGUUAUCGAGGAAAAAAACAUUUUCCCACAAUCUCAGGUGUCGGAAACUCUGUGUCAAGGACCAUACAUAACUACAAGCCAGCUAUGGACAAGACGUCGGUGUCGAUCGGGAUCACUGUGGGCUUCGCCGUGCUGGGCGGUCUGCUCCUGGCCUGUCUCAUCAAGCACCUGUGGGGCAAGAUAAAGUGCCCCAAGUGCAAACGCAAGAAGCCGUCAAUGAAGGAUAAAGUGCUAGAGAAAGUUGGUGUUCAGUCCAAGUCCAAGUCCAAGACAUUCUCCAUCAGCAACAUAGUGGAGAAGAAAUAAGAGCUAGCUGCAGAAUGUAUAGCGUGGCCACAGAAUCACCUUUUCUACUCAUUUCCUGUACCUGUGCUUUAGUUCUGACUCACUUCCUCCUGACGCUCUAAAAGCUACCUCUCUCUGACUUUAGCUCCCAUUGGCACGUGUGUGUCCUCAGUCAACUUCUGUCAUGAUGGCCUUUACAUGUUCCUCUUUCUGCAUAGACAUAACUUGUGGAUAUCUGUAUAUAUGUAAUAGUUACGACAGGUGGAUUCUCUAGUGUAACAUAAGAGUAGAAUAACUCUAACAGGGUUCGGAUUUUAUUUUAGCUCAAUAGAAGUCGGUGGUCACUUACACAGCAUGAACUCCAUGUUUUGGACAUGUAUUUGACCUUUGCAGGACUCACUCAUAUCUGUUCUUUCUCACGCUAGUGAAAAAAAAAAAAAAUUCCAUUGACUGUCAUGCAAAAAAAAAAAAAAAAAAAAAAAAAACACUCCUGUUUUGGUCGGUGUUCUCACACAUAGCCAGCCUUGAGAGUUGGCACCUUUGGUGUUAACAUAUUACAAUUCUUAGUGAAAGCCAGUUUUCUUGUCAUUUGUGGGCAGGGGUGAAACUAUCGACAUGAGUGUGAAGGCACCAACUGCCUUUGGGGUAACUCUCACACGGCCAUGUUUGUUUUGUCACUAUCUAUCUCUUUUUCUAUCUCUCUUUCCAUCUAUCUAUCUACAUAUCUAUCUA